Molecule: ribosomal RNA, 808 nt
Filed under: Kocuria assamensis
Lineage: Bacteria; Bacillati; Actinomycetota; Actinomycetes; Micrococcales; Micrococcaceae
Description: bacterial SSU rRNA
Rfam family: Bacterial small subunit ribosomal RNA
Source: RNAcentral
UGCUGGUGUGGAUGAGUGGCGAACGGGUGAGUAAUACGUGAGUAACCUGCCCUUGACUCUGGGAUAAGCCCGGGAAACUGGGUCUAAUACUGGAUGCUACAUGUCACCGCAUGGUGGUGUGUGGAAAGGGUUUACUGGUCUUGGAUGGGCUCACGGCCUAUCAGCUUGUUGGUGAGGUAAUGGCUCACCAAGGCGACGACGGGUAGCCGGCCUGAGAGGGUGACCGGCCACACUGGGACUGAGACACGGCCCAGACUCCUACGGGAGGCAGCAGUGGGGAAUAUUGCACAAUGGGCGAAAGCCUGAUGCAGCGACGCCGCGUGAGGGAUGACGGCCUUCGGGUUGUAAACCUCUUUCAGCAGGGAAGAAGCCACAAGUGACGGUACCUGCAGAAGAAGCGCCGGCUAACUACGUGCCAGCAGCCGCGGUAAUACGUAGGGCGCAAGCGUUGUCCGGAAUUAUUGGGCGUAAAGAGCUCGUAGGCGGUUUGUCGCGUCUGCUGUGAAAGCCCGGGGCUUAACCCCGGGUGUGCAGUGGGUACGGGCAGACUAGAGUGCAGUAGGGGAGACUGGAAUUCCUGGUGUAGCGGUGGAAUGCGCAGAUAUCAGGAGGAACACCGAUGGCGAAGGCAGGUCUCUGGGCUGUUACUGACGCUGAGGAGCGAAAGCAUGGGGAGCGAACAGGAUUAGAUACCCUGGUAGUCCAUGCCGUAAACGUUGGGCACUAGGUGUGGGGGACAUUCCACGUUUUCCGCGCCGUAGCUAACGCAUUAAGUGCCCCGCCUGGGGAGUACGGCCGCAGGUAACUA